This 487-nucleotide ribosomal RNA is filed under the name uncultured Lachnospiraceae bacterium. RNAcentral's name for it is "bacterial SSU rRNA". It matches the Rfam family "Bacterial small subunit ribosomal RNA", at positions 8 to 507 of the family's 1533-position model. Lineage: Bacteria; Bacillati; Bacillota; Clostridia; Lachnospirales; Lachnospiraceae. The record is from RNAcentral.
AGAGUUUGAUCCUGGCUCAGGAUGAACGCUGGCGGCGUGCUUAACACAUGCAAGUCGAACGGACAGGUAAUGAACCUAGUGAUUUAUCUGUUAGUGGCGGACGGGUGAGUAACGCGUGGGUAACCUGCCGUAUACAGGGGGAUAACACUUAGAAAUAGGUGCUAAAACCGCAUAAGCGCACAGGAUCGCAUGGCCUGGUGUGAAAAACUCCGGUGGUAUACGAUGGACCCGCGUCUGAUUAGCUUGUUGGCGGGGUAGAGGCCCACCAAGGCGACGAUCAGUAGCCGGCCUGAGAGGGUGAACGGCCACAUUGGGACUGAGACACGGCCCAAACUCCUACGGGAGGCAGCAGUGGGGAAUAUUGCACAAUGGGGGAAACCCUGAUGCAGCGACGCCGCGUGAGUGAAGAAGUAUUUCGGUAUGUAAAGCUCUAUCAGCAGGAAAGAAAAUGACGAUACCUGACUAAGAAGCCCCGGCUAACUACGUG